CAAGUCGAACGUGCCCGCAAGGGCAAGUGGCGAAAGGGUCAGUAACGCGAUCGAACGUACCCCGAGGUGGGGGAUAGGGCGGGGAAACUCGCCAUAAUACCCCAUGAUGUCUACGGACCAAAGGUUUACCGCCUUGGGAGCGGCGAUCGUCCUAUCAGGUAGUUGGCGGGGUAAAGGCCCACCAAGCCUAAGACGGGUAGCGGGUGUGAGAGCACGGCCCGCGACAUCGGAACUGAGACACUGUCCGGACUCCUACGGGAGGCUGCAGUAACGAAUCUUCCGCAAUGGGCGCAAGCCUGACGGAGCAAUGCCGCGUGUGGGAUGAAGCGGCUACGCCGUGUAAACCACUGUCAGGGGGCAGAAACAAUGAUCGCCCCCAGAGGAAGAGCCGGCUAACCCUGUGCCAGCAGCCGCGGUAAUACAGGGGGCUCGAGCGUUAGUCGGAAUCACUGGGCUUAAAGGGUGCGUAGGCGGCUCGCCAAGUGCUUUGUGAAAUCCCACAGCUCAACUGUGGAACAGCAGGGCAAACUGGCGAGCUUGAGGCAGGUAGGGGCCGGAAGAACAGUUGGUGGAGCGGUGAAAUGCGUAGAUAUCAACUGGAAUGCCGAUGGGGAAGCCGUCCGGCUGGGCCUGUCCUGACGCUGAGGCACGAAAGCGUGGGGAGCAAACAGGAUUAGAUACCCUGGUAGUCCACGCCGUAAACGAUGUGCACUAGACUGGUGCGGUUUUGACGCCGUAUCAGUCGCAGUAAAAACGAUAAGUGCACCGCCUGGGGAGUACGGUCGCAAGGCUUAAAACUCAAAUGAAUUU
RNAcentral lists this ribosomal RNA (810 nucleotides) under uncultured bacterium. RNAcentral's name for it is "bacterial SSU rRNA". It matches the Rfam family "Bacterial small subunit ribosomal RNA", at positions 58 to 912 of the family's 1533-position model. The record is from RNAcentral.